Molecule: long non-coding RNA, 330 nt
Filed under: Brassica rapa (field mustard)
Lineage: Eukaryota; Viridiplantae; Streptophyta; Magnoliopsida; Brassicales; Brassicaceae
Description: long non-coding RNA (BRAP_LNC001957)
Source: RNAcentral
AGGCAGAAAGUACAGGCAAGUCUCAGAUGGCCGUAGAGAAGAUGGUGGAAGGACGUCUCCGUAAAUAUUAUGAAGAAGUUGCUCUGAUGGAGCAAAAGUUCAUUGUGAACGAUUCUAUAAACAUCUGCAUCCUUGCUAUUAUUAGUUGUUGAAUGUAAAAGCCAUGAAUUUUUCAAAAUGUACAUGAUAUUAUUACACAGACACUGGUGGAUAAUUUGUCCAAGGAGGUGGGUUCUACUGUGAAGGUUGCCAAUUUUCUGAGAGUUGAGGUUGGGGAAGGAAUCGAUAGGUAAAUAUAACAGUGGCUCCUUAUAUAUGUUUACAUUAGCG